UCCCCAGCCUUUGUCACUAUGCUCUUCCCUAUGACCAGCCCUGCAAGAAACCCGGUGCCAGGCUCUGCCAUGACGUGGGGCCACCGUCACCAGCCAGAUUCCAACACACCAGGGAGAGGCCGAUUCAGAGAGCCACAGCAUCCCAGAGCCACCUGUCAACAGCCAGCUGGUUUGCCUGUCAGGAAGAGGAAGGAGGGUGGGGUUGGCCUCAUCCCCAGAACUUUCCUCCCUCCCUGGAAGGAAGAGGAAGAAGGUACUGUUUAACCCCCAUGACAGAUGAGAAAACAGGUCUGAAGAAGUUGAGAGGCCUGCUGCAAGUCACACUGACGAAGAACCAGAAUUUUGUCCACUACCCGACCCAGGUCAGCUAGAGGGGCAGGGGUUAGUUUUACGGAGUUUGGGGACAUGUCACCCACUCCCCCAAAAAGCCAGAAACUCUGCUUGACCCCAGCCAUGACUCACUUUUCAAAGCAGUGAGCAGCAGUGAGGACCCAGGUGUCCGCCACCAGGGACCCGCUGCAGAUGUGGACCCCCCGCCUCCUCACGCUUGCUUGCCACGGCCACUCGCCAGGCCUGAGCCAGAUCCAAGAAAGGCCUGACUCCAUGUCCCUAGAGCUUACCGUGCUGAGCUGCUUGAAGACCUGGGAAGAGAGAGACACAGGCCCAUCAACAUCUGGGCCAGGAGCGGCCAGGAGAGAUGGGACAUGGAGACGGAGAGACAGAGCCAGAGGGCUCCCAGAACCUGCCGAAGGUCAUUCCAGAAGCAGAGAGGCAGAGAGGGCACAGGGCACAGUGACUACAGACACAGCCUGUAAUCUGGCCCAAGAAAAUCCCACCCGCUUGGACACGGGGGGCCACAUAACACCUCCCCUGCUCCACAGCCAGACACAGUCACAGUCAUAUCAGCGCAGGCCGAGUGUCGCCCCGCAGGCACGCGCCCUCCCGCACACCGAGCUGCAAGGCUGCUGGGACGGAGGGUGGCCCCUGAUCACCCACCGUACCACUUCCCGACCUGCUCAGGCACAGGAGGCUCACCCUCGAUGAGGACCGCUGCUCCCAGGACGAGCAGUCCCAGCCCCCAGCUCUGCUUCAUGCUGCUCUGGGCCACUCUGCCGCCCGGGCUCCCGUGUUCAGAGAGGCCACCUGGGUCUCCCUAGCCCCACCUCUGCUCCGCCCCCAGCUGGCUAAGAGUCAGGUGUCCUCGCUUUUCCUCAGGCCCUGAAGGGAGCCAGCAGCUCCUAGCUCUGGGGCUGUGACUGUGUGACCCUGGGCGAUUCACCACCCCUCCGUGGGGCUCAGCCGUAGCCAGACUGCGUGGGUUCAAAUCCUAGCUCCCCCGGUUACUGCCCGAGUGACCUUAGACAUUAGCCUGUCUGUGAACUCAGAACUGCUGAAUGUGAACAUGCUUGGACCAGAGCCUGACACAGAAUAAACUCGCUCCCAGCCUGGAA
Long non-coding RNA from Ailuropoda melanoleuca (giant panda), 1451 nucleotides. RefSeq lists it as uncharacterized. The transcript is spliced from 5 exons. The record is from RefSeq and is a predicted model, not a curated record. NCBI's taxonomy places the organism in Eukaryota, Metazoa, Chordata, Mammalia, Carnivora, Ursidae.